GACGAACGCUGGCGGCGUGCUUAACACAUGCAAGUCGAACGGGAUUUAGUAGACAGAAGCCUCGGCUAAAGAUUACUAAUGAGAGUGGCGAACGGGUGAGUAACGCGUGAGCAACCUGCCUAUGACAGUGGGAUAGCCUCGGGAAACCGGGUUUAAUACCGCAUAAAAUCGUAGAAACACAUGUUUCAACGGUCAAAGAUUUAUCGGUCAUAGAUGGGCUCGCGUCUGAUUAGCUAGUUGGUGAGAUAACAGCCCACCAAGGCGACGAUCAGUAGCCGGUCUGAGAGGAUGAACGGCCACAUUGGAACUGAGACACGGUCCAAACUCCUACGGGAGGCAGCAGUGGGGAAUAUUGCACAAUGGGGGAAACCCUGAUGCAGCGACGCCGCGUGAACGAAGAAGGUAUUCGUAUCGUAAAGUUCUGUCCUAUGGGAAGAUAAUGACAGUACCAUAGAAGAAAGCUCCGGCUAAAUACGUG
This 478-nucleotide ribosomal RNA is filed under the name uncultured bacterium. Its description in RNAcentral is "partial 16S ribosomal RNA". It matches the Rfam family "Bacterial small subunit ribosomal RNA", at positions 28 to 507 of the family's 1533-position model. The record is from RNAcentral.